GACGAACGCUGGCGGCGUGCUUAACACAUGCAAGUCGAACGGAAAGGCCCGGCUUUUGUGGGGUGCUCGAGUGGCGAACGGGGGAGAAACACGUGAGUAACCUGCCCUUGACUUUGGGAUAACGUCAGGAAACUGGGGCUAAUACCGGAUAGGAGCUCCUGCUGCAUGGUGGGGGUUGGAAAGUUUCGGCGGUUGGGGAUGGACUCGCGGCUUAUCAGCUGGUUGGUGGGGUAGUGGCUGACCAAGGCUUUGACGGGUAGCCGGCCUGGGAGGGUGACCGGCCACAUUGGGACUGAGCUACGGCCCAGACGCCUACGGGAGGCAGCAGGGGGGAAUAUUGCACAACGGGAGGAAGCCUGAGGCAGCAACGCCGCGUGCGGGAUGACGGCCUUCGGGUUGUAAACCGCUUUCGCCUGUGACGAAGCGUGAGUGACGGUAAUGGGUAAAGAAGCACCGGCUAACUACGUG
Molecule: ribosomal RNA, 468 nt
Filed under: uncultured bacterium
Lineage: Bacteria
Description: partial 16S ribosomal RNA
Rfam family: Bacterial small subunit ribosomal RNA
Source: RNAcentral